CGGGGGGAGCAAGCGUUGUUCGGAUUUACUGGGCGUAAAGGGCGCGUAGGCGGCCAGCACAAGUCAGUUGUGAAAUCUCCGGGCUUAACUCGGAACGGUCAACUGAUACUGUGCGGCUAGAGUGCAGAAGGGGCAACUGGAAUUCUCGGUGUAGCGGUGAGAUGCGUAGAUAUCGAGAGGAACACCUGCGGCGAAGGCGGGUUGCUGGGCUGACACUGACGCUGAUGCGCGAAAGCCAGGGGAGCGAACGGGAUUAGAUACCCCGGUAGUCCUGGCCUUAAACGAUGGAUGCUUGGUGUCUGGAGUUUUAUAGUCUCCGGGUGCCGUAGCUAACGCGUUAAGCAUCCCGCCUGGGGAGUACGGUCGCAAGACUG
RNAcentral lists this ribosomal RNA (374 nucleotides) under uncultured organism. RNAcentral's name for it is "bacterial SSU rRNA". It matches the Rfam family "Bacterial small subunit ribosomal RNA", at positions 526 to 896 of the family's 1533-position model. The record is from RNAcentral.